UUAAUUUCCUAUUUAAGAUAGAAGCUAAUCUUUAGUUGGUUGACGUGAUUCUAUGUGGAAGCUUCUUUUUGUAUAUAUCAAAAGGGACCAUAAACACAUCGCAAGGCAACUUUCUUAUGCAUUUCAUAAUAUUGGAAAUGACCCAGAAGUAAUAGCUUACUCAGGACAUGAAGCUUCACUGAAAUGCAUAAUGAAUAGUGAACUGUCCUUGAGCAAUGUUAAGUGAUUUGGGGAAGAUGUCUUGAGAGACGAUGAGCUAUGCGUUAAGCCAACUGGAUCUUCGCACCCACUUUUUUAUGGCCUGCUAGAGUGGUGAUUACUGCAGCUUCCUUCUGCACCUCUAAGCCAAAGUGACAUGCAUGGAAAAGGGGUUGCUGAUGGGAAAAGUUCAUGAAACUUUUCCAAGCCAAUGAGGCUCGACUAGUAAUAAAAUCAUUUUCAUGUUUAUGUUCGAACAGGUGAAAAAAUGUAAUAAAUACUAUGACAUCAGUGUGGUAAGAGCAUCCCAGAUGCUUCUCAUAUAGCAACUGGCAAUUCGUCCAGAUGCUAAUUUAAUAGAAUUCAAAAAUGAUUGAUUGCUUC
Long non-coding RNA from Ricinus communis (castor bean), 582 nucleotides. RefSeq lists it as uncharacterized. The record is from RefSeq and is a predicted model, not a curated record. The transcript is spliced from 3 exons. Lineage: Eukaryota; Viridiplantae; Streptophyta; Magnoliopsida; Malpighiales; Euphorbiaceae.